RNAcentral lists this long non-coding RNA (1132 nucleotides) under Takifugu rubripes (torafugu). RNAcentral's name for it is "lncRNA (ENSTRUG00000027147.1)". Lineage: Eukaryota; Metazoa; Chordata; Actinopteri; Tetraodontiformes; Tetraodontidae. The record is from RNAcentral.
GAAAACUCUUCGCGCGUCUCUGCCAUAGCUGCAAUUCUGACAAUCAGCUGCAUCAACUUUAACGCGUUGGCGCCUGAACUCGCGUGUUUCUCAAGUCGUUCCGUGAACGGGACGGGGACGUAAUUCGGAGUGACUCGAGUUAACUUAGCUGUGUUUCUGUCCAGACGCACAGAGGAGCGUGCGAGUGAGCUCUGAAGCGAAGGCAGCGAGCCGCAGCAACACCUCCAGAAGCUGCGCGCUGCCGCCGCGGCGCUCCGUCUCUCGCUUGUUUUAACGGACGUGCGUAAGUGAAGAACGCGGCUCCUGGGGUUCUGUGACAGUCCACGAGUACGCAGAGGACAAGCAAAAUCCCCCCAAUAAAGACAAGAAUGCUAGGAUGAAGACACUGCAGAGGAAGCUGGACACAAGUACUCAUUUUGCGACAACAGUGAGGAGAAGCUAAUGUAUUUGACUCUGGGAACCUGAACCGAAGCUUUUAGAAUCCCUGCGCAUCAGCAUACAUCUUUAUAACUGCCAACUGCUGGUCGGAUAUCCAGCGUAAUGUACAGGAGUAAUAGGAUUUUUCCCUGUUUGGCUUUGAUGUGGAGGAUACAGCUGUAAUGUUUGGACUUUCCACUGCCAGCGGAGACAUUAGACACAGCCAAGUUUCAAUAGAAACUUCAAUUUAGAAGAAUUCCGUGGACGGUUAAAUAUAAGGUAGACAGCAAGGGAACCAUUGUGUCUGUAUAGGGCAUAAUCUUUGUCCUACAUACAGCCGCCCGCUGAGCCUUAUUGAAAAGGAGGAGCCCAUUAAAGCAGUUGGUAGAUAGGAAGGUUUGAAGGUCCAAAGGUGUUGUUGCUGCCUGUCUGCCACUUGGAGAUGAGAUAAGAGCAGAGGGAAGAGAAAAGGGAAGUGCCUGUCUGACAGGAGCCGAAUACAGAUUAGGAUUUUCUCUCCAGCAGCUUCACCAGUGAGGCGAAUCAAUAGAAGAAGCAGAAUGGACAAGGUAGUCAGCUUCAAUUACAGGUGCAUUAGAUGUAAACCCAAAUGAUGAAAUUACACACUUGAAAAGGAAUGAUGUGAAAUCAUACCGCAGUACCAGGGACGGAGAAAGUCUGCAGCCAACACCAACAGUGUAAUAAUUCCUCUGUA